Molecule: ribosomal RNA, 250 nt
Filed under: uncultured bacterium
Lineage: Bacteria
Description: partial 16S ribosomal RNA
Rfam family: Bacterial small subunit ribosomal RNA
Source: RNAcentral
UACGAAGGACCCAAGCGUUAUCCGGAUUUAUUGGGUUUAAAGGGUGCGUAGGCGUCCCGGAAAGUUACGGUUGAAAUCUUCUUGCUUAACAAGGAAACUGGCCGUAAAACUAUCGGGAUUGAGUACAUCUGAAGCGGGCGGAAUGUGUCAUGUAGCGGUGAAAUGCAUAGAUAUGACACAGAACACCGAUUGCGAAGGCAGCUCGCUAAACUGUAACUGACGCUGAGGCACGAAAGCGUGGGGAUCAAAC